UACGGAGGGUGCAAGCGUUAUCCGGAUUCACUGGGUUUAAAGGGUGCGUAGGCGGGCUUGUAAGUCAGUGGUGAAAGCCCGGAGCUUAACUCCGGAAUUGCCGUUGAUACUGCAAGUCUUGAGUACAGUUGAGGUGGGCGGAAUACAUCAUGUAGUAGUGAAAUACUUAGAUAUGAUGUAGAACACCGAUUGCGAAGGCAGCUCACUAAAGUGUAACUGACGCUGAGGCACGAAAGCGUGGGGAUCAAACAGG
Molecule: ribosomal RNA, 253 nt
Filed under: uncultured bacterium
Lineage: Bacteria
Description: partial 16S ribosomal RNA
Rfam family: Bacterial small subunit ribosomal RNA
Source: RNAcentral